Molecule: long non-coding RNA, 7631 nt
Filed under: Nasonia vitripennis (jewel wasp)
Lineage: Eukaryota; Metazoa; Arthropoda; Insecta; Hymenoptera; Pteromalidae
Description: uncharacterized LOC116417428
Source: RNAcentral
UCUCUCUCUCUCUCUCUCUCUCUCUCUACUGCAUACACACACGUCGCACUAACUUUUUCUCUCGCGCUUUGCUCACACAUCUGACAGUGGUCAAGUAGUAGGCACACGCACACUACUCCCACAUUGGGCAUUAGACCUCUGUUUUACCAUCCAACACUCGUUUAGUCGUAUCUGCUGGUUAAGAAUAGAUCUUUUUUAUCUACUUUUAUCUUAUUUACUUUACAAUAUCAAUCACAAAUAUCCGCAUUAAAAUAUAUAAAUUAAACAAUAUUUUGUUUAUUUUAUUAAUAUAUAUCAACUGUGAAAAUGGAGGAUAUUAUAAAUGAAUGCCUACAGCAAGUUAAGCUCUUGGAAGAGGUCGAAAGAUUAUUAUUUUCUGCUACAAGUACAGUUGAUUUAUCCACUGUAACCAACGCACUAAUACGGAAAGUCAUUUGUGUUCGGGAGGCUAGCACGCACGCCGGAAGAAGGCGAACUCGAGGAGGAAGAUUUAUUACCAACCUUUAAUGGUUAUAUGAGGGAGCUGGUAACCCGACUUAAUAGUCUCCAAGCGACGGCGAGAGAAAACUCGAUUAAAGCGAAGGAGAGGGCGAAACAAUAUUAUGACCGACGAGUAUAUUAAAACACUACAAAUUGGAAACCACGUAUGGCUACUAAGCGGCCCGAAACCGCAUAAAUUCGAGGAUCAAUAUAAAGGACCAUAUACAGUGCUCGACGUGAGCCCCAACGGCAACGUAAAAAUACAAAUAAGCGCGACUAAAGAAAAAAUCGUACACGCAAACAGGCUACGCGAAAAUGAUAAGACUAAGUAGAAGUAGAACUACAACAUAACCGUACGCACAUCGUAAACAAUGCAUGAGAAGCACAGUAAAAAAAAUUAAAUCACAUUCAGUGCAAGUUAUAAAAUUUUUUUCAAACACGCUACAGGCCAGCACGCAUACACGCGCCAUUAUGAUAGACACGAAUACGCGUACUCUAGAAGUACGCGAUCACCAACACGCAUACACGCGCCAUUAUGAUAGACACGAAUACGCGUACUCUAGAAGUACGCGAUCACCAACAAACACAAGCUUCAAAAAAUUUUUUUUUCUUGUUUUCCUGCUACCUGCCCGCUCACAAUAACCAUAAAACGACGACAAAUAAAAACAAGAACCAGCUAGCGGUACAUUCAAACAACUGACAAACAUGCUAAACAAUACACAUAAAUGUUUGUUAGAUAAAAAAAAGAGAACGCAUAACGUUUAAUGAACUAAUUACAAUGAUUACAGAUGAUAAACAUGUGGAUUUUGUGGCUAACAACGAUAGCUCAACUUUUCAUCGGCGGUGCCGCGAUAAUAGCAUAUGACUGUUCGCAGCAAGUCUCUAAUUUAACAACUUUCUCGCUAAUUAACGUCGGAGAAUGCGAUAUAGAAAUUCCGGUAUUAAACACGACGCGAGUAUUCGUAAAACUGUUGCAAAUAAAUGAAUUUACGAAAACGCACGUAAGAUUCUGUAAAGUCGAAAUAAAGAGAACGGUAAGAACCUGCGGCGCGUUUUCGCACUCGAGCGACGUGAUUAGAGGCGAGGUCAAGUUUCUCGACGAGAUACUUAAGAAGUUAUGUGAAUCAAGCGACUAGAAGACGGACAAAGAUAAACAAAAUAACAUACGCACUCAUCCACUUCGCGCGUCACUUAAUCGCUUGAGAUAUUAGAUAAGCAAACAAAAAUUAUAACUCUAGAAAAAUUAAUAAUCAUAUAAGUAUACAGUUAGUAAAGUUAUGUAAACCGGCAGCAAGAAAAACGGAAACGAGAUUUCUCAACUCAAGAAGACUCGUACUGUUUCGCUUGCCCAAGGGAAAAGUAAAUUCGAUGUAUGUGACAAAAAAAUAAAUAAAGAAAAGGGCACUUGCCCACCAAAGAAACGAAUCAGAACAAGGUCGUCGUAAUCGAACUAACUAUAUUCCUAACAAAAAAAAAUCGAGCUUCACUAUUCGAAGACUUGUCACGAAAAUUAUAACUUCGAGGGUCAGGAAGACAUUGAGCACAAGCGGUCACUCCCACAGACCGGGCCGAGCAUCGCCAAUCAUGAUUAAGGGAGCGUACCGGCGGCAGUGGUGGUUAAUUACAGUCGUAUUUUUUUUUUUUUUUUUAUAUUGUACGUAAACAUUAUCUACCCUAGGCGGUAUCGCGUGAGCGGGCUGCGCUAAAUAAAAGGUCUCGUCGACUCGGAAUUUGUAAUUAUUUCUAUCGUGCGAGUAAUCGCUCUAUGCGGCCGCCCGGACGUAACAAUAGAAAGGAAAUUAGCUAAUCAGCAAGCUUUACGCGGGCGGGGUGAUACGAAUUUGGGUACUAAAAAGGUAUUUUCCUGCAAAAUUUGCAAAAGCCCGGAUGAUACUAGUUGUAUUUGUGGGUCCGAGCAAGAAAAGGAAUGCCAAUUUUGUAAUACAAAAGGUCACACUCUUGAUAACUGCGUAGCUCAUGCAAAGAGCAUAUUGAGAAUGAAACUUACUUGUCAGUUAUACAAAACCGAAGGUCACACUGCUAGCAACUGCAAAACUAUUGAGACGUGCCAAUUGUGCAGUAAAAUUGGUCAUUCGGCUAAAGAAUGUCUACCUCUAGCAAUGCUUACGCAAAUAGACCUAAAACUAUUUGUCAAAUUUGUCAGAGAGUAGGUCAUCCAGCCAGCUCUUGCUAUUCUUUAAAAAAUCGAAUAGCUCAACUCACUCGAACUCAAACGAUCAACUAAUACUUUCUGUCAAAUUUGCAGAUUACCUGGACACAAUGCUAAUAUGUGCAACCAGAAUCUCACAGCCCAAGCAGCAGGUCAACAACAACAUAAAAAAAAUUAGAUCAUGCUGAUCGUUUAUUACAUGAAUUUGUUAUAAAAACUCAAGAGUUAUUUUCAAAAUCUGCUAUGACAUAUAAUAUUCACCAAUUGCUCCACAUUUGUAAAAGUGUUUACGAUUGGGGACCAUUAUGGACUCACUGGACUUUUUCUUUUGAAUCGGAUUUUGAUCGAAAAGAAGAGUGGCUAUAUGUAAAAAAUUCAAAACUAAACUAAGAUGCGGAAAUUCGGCGUAUGUGAGGGACAGCUCAGAUAUAACGGCUUCUCUCACUUGCUAAUUUUUGGCAUCUAGGCGGAACGCGACCUCAACAACAUCGAGAAGGGAGGACUCUAGGCCCUUCGUGCUGCGAAACAUCACUCCAGUUCAUCACUCCGGUCCCGGCUCUAAGUAAGCUCAGUAGAAUUCGCGCUUAGUACGCGUUAAGUUUUAUUUUAGCGCUUGUACGCGUAGUUUUAGAUUUGCACUAAGUACACACGAUUUUAUUUGUAUUUGCGCUAAGUACGCAUAUUUUUAAUUAAAAUUUAAAGUAAAUUAAACUGAACUUGUGUGUAUUCGGUUAUUAUUUUUACCGAGAGUCUUCAUCCAUCUAUGGAUCUCUAAGUACCCAAGUAGCAGACAACGAGUAACAAAGUGAUUUUUAAUUAUUUGUCUUAACUUUCCUCUAAUCCUUUCUACAACCUAUCGCUUGGAUAAGUGAUCCGAAUAACACCGGGUCAUUUUCUAAAAGUUUUACAUUCAUUUCAUUCCUACAUUAAGCAAACAUUCUAAGCACCCAGCUAUUGCACGAAAGUGCAGGCUAAAGGUGUAGUUUUAAAAUAAGCGCAGUAGCAUCGUUGGAUGUUACACGGCCGUAAAAAGAAGUGGACCAAGUGACCUUUAAAAGUUGUUACUUGAUUUUCAUACAAGGAUAGGCCACUCCAAGCAGUUAUAGCGAAAGGGACACCGAUUCGAAAUUUUUCAGUUACUAAUGCUGAUGUCAAAUCUAUUGCAAAGAUUAAGAUCCUCAAAGUGUAGGCUAAAGGUGUAGUAACUAAAUAAGUGUGGUAGCAUCGUUAGAUAUUACACUCGCAAGUAGGUGACAGGCGGCGACCACCCGAUAAGCUAUAAAUUAACUGCGGGGAGAAGGGACGCCGACGCAUUUUCGGAGCACCGCCAAAAAAGACAAACCUUUCAUCCUAUCCUUUUCCAUACCUCCAUCCACCUAUAAAAGCCCAUGUGUAACCACGAGAAGGGGCCUUCUGCAACCGACAGGGCGAAAGUGCAGGCUAAAGGUGUAGUUAAAAAAAAUAUAUAGUGCAGUAGCAUCGUUGGGUGUUACAUACGCAUCAGUUAUUUUAUAUUUCGUGCUUGUACGCAUAAAGUUUUUUUUGCGCUAAGUACGCAUCUAUUUACCUAUAUCUUUUAAUAUAUUAUUUUUCUGAAAUCGUGUUAGGUGUUUUAUUUUCCGAAAUCUUUUGCCCUUCUACGAGUUCCAGCUGACAGCAGCAACCCGAACAGCAUAGGACAAAGUAAGUAAUUCAAAAUUUUGCUGUCAUAUCUUUUCCUUUUACUUGUCUAUAACCUAUCGCUUGGAUAAAUGAAUCGUUUAAAGCCGGGUCAUUUAUCCCUCUCUUACUCUUUUAGAAUUUAAAUCCGAAUAACACCGGGACAUUUUCUGAAAAUUCUACUUUCCUUUCAUUCCUUUAUACAGACAUUCAGAGCACCCAGCUAUUGCACUCACCAAACCACUCACUCCAAAUUUCCAAAAUUAAAGGGAGAAAAAAAAUAGAACAAGGAAGAGCAAGCCAUCUAGGAACGUGUUCAACUAAUAAACCCAAGGUAAGCUUUUCAAUUAUUGAUUUGGACCACCACCAAAAAGAAAAGAAAACAUUUGUGGGCAGGGACACGAAUCCUGACCAGAUUACUCCCUGGACACCUGUAGAGCGUGUCAGAUAGGCAAACUCGCACAAAAGGGGAAACUCUUCAAGUUUCCACCUAACACUUGAUUUGCAUACAAGGAUAGGCCACUCCAGGCAGUUAUAGCAAAAGGAUUACGAUUCGACAUUUGUCAGUUACUAAUGCUUACGCCAAAUCUUUUGCAAAGUUAAGGACAGCUGAUGGUGGUAUUUUACAUGUGCCUGAAAAUUGCAUUUUCUGGAAAAGAUUAUGGUCUAUAAGGCCAGUAUUUCAAAGAGCCAAACGAACGAGAUUUUACAUUUUUAUCACCUUCUCGAACAGAGUCAAAGCAAUAGAGUUAGAAAUACGAGAUGCAGCAGAAAGAGAAAACAGACUUAGACACGGUAUAGAGCACGAAAUAGAACUGAACGCAAUAAGAUUUUUUAUUCGCGGGCAACACAGUGGAAUAAAAGCUGGCAUAAUUCGCACUGGCACACUAGAAGAAGCAACCACAAGCAAGCCGUGAAGAUGAACCAAAGCAACAACUAUCGCGAGGACUUCGAUGGCAGAUUGUAAUAACAAUUAUAGUUUUAAGUUGAAUUCAUGUAUGCUGCUGUACCUUUCAGUACGUUUCCAUAUAAUUGCGUAUAUUGGUGUUAAAAUUUUGACUUAAAGUACGUAAAAGUACCUCAUUGAAUCCUUCGGUAACAUAGUAUAUUGGAUAUGGAAAGGCUUGGUUCACUUUUCAAAGAGGGCAUCUGUGCUGAGAUGGGCGUGUUAGCCACUCUUCUGGACAAUUAUUUCAAGUUAAGCAGGUUGAGAUUGAAGUCUACGAAUUCAUUUACAAAGAGAGACUCUAACAUUUAUGUAACAAUAAUAAUUAAUUGGUUAAUGCAGCAUUUACAAAUUAUAUUUGCGCUUAAACAAAAAGGGUUACGCCAUACUACUGCCAUAAUAAUUCACAACAAGAGUUCUAUGUUCGUCGCAAAAUUAUAUAGUGCAAACUCGAACUGUAAGUGACAGCUGAGACACUAAUCCCGAUCAUUCUCUCCUUUAUAACUUCUUACUUACUAUAGUCAUACUGCACUUUCUUCACUUUUUUGAGCGCUGCCGUCUUAAUGUCUUUGAUCAAAAACUUUUCAUUUUCGGCAGAAAAAUAGCACGAAAGCAAAUCAAAAAAUUCUAUUUUUAAAAAAGGACGUCGCAGCGCUAAAGAGAGAGAGAGAGAGAGCAGUGCGUGUCGCUUUUUUACGUUAACAAAUUUUCGAGACGCAGAAUUGUGUGGAGGACACUAAAAGAAAAAAAUCGCUUUAUAGCGUUACUAGCUUAUAACAAAAAAAAAAGAAAAACAUACGAACAAUAAUUUUUUUCUAGACCACCGACAGAUUAAUUCUCAAGUUUUCCGAUUUAAAGGCUUUUUCUUCUUCUUCGAGGAUUCUUUUUGUUGCCGCAACGAGCACCUGCAUUUCCCUGAACAUGGCCUACAGGCGAGGACCCAACUCCUUCUCUUUGUCGACUUACAACUGCGUUGACAUCUUAUACUCCUCUGCUAAGGUUAGCCUCAACUGUUGGUUUGGUGGUGUUCGUUUGGUAAUUCUUUAUUGGCCUUAAUGGCGGCCUGAUAAUAGGCCCUGGUGAUGGUCUGUUAUAUUUCGAUUCUUCUUUCCCUGAUGUUAUUCUUGGGUCUUGUUAGGCUUACUGCCGAGGUGUUGCAAGCUAGGCAGUAAUGUCACCAGAAGUUAUUAGUAAAGCAGCUGGUGAAUGAAUGGGUUUCAAGGUCACUUAGCUUACCGAAGCUAGCUUAAAUAUGCCGAGGACAAGUGUCUUGGGACGCAAAGGUAGCGUUGGUGUGUUUAUUGGUGGUACGGAGCACCAAUGUCUCACAUAUUUUAAAGAUAGCUCUGUUUAAGCUGUUCUGUCUCUCUCGCACAUCUCAGUGCCUUUGAUAAAUCGGCUUGGCACUCAGUUGCGAAUAACUUUGGAUUAGACGUUGAUGAGGUCUGUCCUACUACAAAUAUGUGAACAUUCAAAUGAAUUGUUUGACUUGUUUGUUGUUUUUAGAUGACAGAAGAUGAUGAAUCAUGGUAAGCUGUUUCACUCCUUUUAUCAGCAAUAGGCUGCUCCGGUUGCUAGCUUUCUCCUGUCCACCCAUGUGCUCUGGUGUAUAAGGUCACCAGUUCCGUGUACUUGUUCUCAGACCUUUGACCUCUUUGAGGGCUCCGAUUCUUUUGCUUCUUAGUGUGCUCAUAUUUGCUGUUUAAUUUUCAUCGAGCCCUUAGCUUUAUCAGCCCCGUUAUCGAAAUUUUUCGUGGCUUGACAUAAUAUUCCAGCCAGCUUAAGAGCGGUUGCUACAAUGUAUCGUUAUGUAGAAGCUAUAUUGCGAUGUGUUUUUGUGAUGGAAAAUUACUUGUCGAUCGUCUGUUGUAUGUCUUUAUGCCGAAUUUCUUCGUUUUAUAAUACUUUGUAUCUACGAAUUUUAAUUUUCAUGCCCUUCACACAAUUUCUUGUAUAUUAAUAAUCGCUUUAUAUCAUAACACAAUAUUUCCAUGAAACUUUGUUUUUCUUUGUUUUUUAUGAUAGUAUUUAUAUCAUUUUUUUCUAAACAUGGUUUCUCGCUAAUAUUUGCUAAUUCUGUGAUCUAUUUAGCGUGAAUAAUGAUCCAUGCGAAUUCUUGUUAAAUUUUAUGGCUUUAUUAUUAUAAGUGAAUUCACGUAAAUCUUUAUUCAUGCUCGUACAUGCUAUAUACAAACUACAAAGCUUGAUAUUGAAUUUGUCAUGCUUUAUCUUUGAUUCUGUAUUUACAAAUAAAUGUGUUGUUUCUUUUGACUUCCAUACGAUUAUUCCUAAUUAAAUAUCUAAAGUUUAUUUUUUCUUUUGUUAAAUUCUUUCUGUUUUUAUUUUUUUUUUGCAUUAGACUUUUAUGGAAUUCUU